UUUUAGUUUUUCUUUUUAAAUUAGGAAACUAUUUUUUAUGGUUAUUAAACAAAUAGAAGACUGGUUCUCAAAUGAAAGUAGGAAAGCUAGUGAAAAUUGAUCUCUCUCCCUGGAAUCACUUUUUGAGACAAGAAAACUAUUGUAAAUUUUUGGUAGUCCUUUACAAAAUUUGAAGCUCUAGGUGUCAAACCUGGCUUUCCUCCAUGCCUUAGUCUUAGGUGGUGUUUGUUUUUUUACUUAAUUCUAAAUAGAACUUUAAUGCUUAAUAAUAUUAAAUAUUAGGUUAUUUGUUUUUGUAGUAUUUUAUUUCUAUUAAGUAUUAAAAAGUAAAAAAAUCAAUAUGUUAUUUUUUCUAUUUAAAAAAAGUUACAUAUUUUGGUUUUUUCUUUUUAAUAAAAAGUUUAUAAUAAGUCAUGAAAAAGUAGAAAAACAAACAACCUAAAUUCUAAAACUAAAUUGCUUUCAGCACAAAGCCAAAAAAACAAACACCACCUUAGUUAGUCUCAGUUGGAUGCUUCUCUUUAUAGUCGCUCUCCUUGGAGUCAUGAGGGCUGGUCACAAUAAAAGCUCAAGAAAAGGAACAAGGGAUGAGAAAUGAGAGUGAGGGGAAGAGGGUGUGCGAUUAGGGCUUGAAAAAAAUGAAAGGCAGAGGGAUUUAGAGAUGGAACACGAUGGGGAAUAAGCGAAUAGGGUUUACCUUGGAGAAAGAAUGAGGAAUGGAAGGAAGAUGAAUGAUCACAGGAGGGUUUUAACUUUUAAUAUCUAACCAUUCAACGAAUUGAUCGAUCAAUUAGGUUGUUGGCUCGACUAUUGAGUCAAAAUCAAUUAACUCCUUGAAAAUUCUUAGGUUUUUG
RNAcentral lists this long non-coding RNA (854 nucleotides) under Vitis vinifera (wine grape). RNAcentral's name for it is "long non-coding RNA (VVIN_LNC003665)". The record is from RNAcentral. Lineage: Eukaryota; Viridiplantae; Streptophyta; Magnoliopsida; Vitales; Vitaceae.